Molecule: long non-coding RNA, 491 nt
Organism: Sander lucioperca (pikeperch)
Lineage: Eukaryota; Metazoa; Chordata; Actinopteri; Perciformes; Percidae
Exons: 3
Source: RefSeq, a predicted model, not a curated record
UUUGUCUGGAAACGCUUCCAACACGCUUGCGUGUCGCGUGAAAAAUAGGCGUCGGUCAUAUUUCUAGCAUGCAUGCGUUUUCGGCGCGGCUCGCGGCGUGAGAUGUGCGUGUCCUUCAGGCAGUAUGCAAGCUCUAACCUGUUACCAUGGGAGCCGAAAUAAAAACGGACACGCCACGCAGCUGACACGCUCACGCCACGCAGCCGACGCGAUCAAGCCACACAGCUGACACGCUCACGCCACGCAGCCAGUGUGCGGGAGCCCCUCAGCGUCAGUAACCGACGCCAAAGCACCCGGCCAAGCGGCGCUUUGUGACCCGAUGGGAGUGAGAAUGUGUUGCACAGGACGAGGUGGAGAAAGAAACCUUCCCUUUAAUUCAACUCAUCGUUCAUCAGGACAUUGCACCCAUGGUGACGUGACAGGAUAUUAUGGUCUGUAACACACAUGGACACCCAGCAGGACAAAGAGAGAGGGAGAGAGAGAGAGAGAGA